UGAUCCAGCCAUGCCGCGUGAGUGAAGAAGGCCUUCGGGUUGUAAAGCUCUUUCGUUGGGAAGAAACGGGGUUCUCUAACAUAAAGCGCUCAUGACGGUACCGACAGAACAAGCACCGGCUAACUACGUGCCAGCAGCCGCGGUAAUACGUAGGGUGCGAGCGUUAAUCGGAAUUACUGGGCGUAAAGCGUGCGCAGGCGGUUGUGUAAGACAGGUGUGAAAUCCCCGGGCUCAACCUGGGAACUGCGCUUGUGACUGCACGGCUAGAGUACGGCAGAGGGGGAUGGAAUUCCACGUGUAGCAGUGAAAUGCGUAGAUAUGUGGAGGAACACCGAUGGCGAAGGCAACCCCCUGGGCCGAUACUGACGCUCAUGCACGAAAGCGUGGGGAGCAAACAGGAUUAGAUACCCUGGUAGUCCACGCCCUAAACGAUGUCGACUAGUUGUUCGGAGCGGA
RNAcentral lists this ribosomal RNA (456 nucleotides) under uncultured Rhodocyclales bacterium. RNAcentral's name for it is "bacterial SSU rRNA". It matches the Rfam family "Bacterial small subunit ribosomal RNA", at positions 384 to 833 of the family's 1533-position model. Lineage: Bacteria; Pseudomonadati; Pseudomonadota; Betaproteobacteria; Rhodocyclales. The record is from RNAcentral.